This 253-nucleotide ribosomal RNA is filed under the name uncultured bacterium. RNAcentral describes it as "partial 16S ribosomal RNA". It matches the Rfam family "Bacterial small subunit ribosomal RNA", at positions 524 to 776 of the family's 1533-position model. The record is from RNAcentral.
UACAGAGGGGGCUAGCGUUAUUCGGAAUUAUUGGGCGUAAAGGGCGCGUAGGCGGCCAUGCGUGUCUUCCGUGAAAUCCCUCGGCUUAACUGAGGACGUGCGGAAGAAACUGCAAGGCUCGAGUCCGGGAGAGGGGGGUGGAAUUCCCAGUGUAGCGGUGAAAUGCGUAGAUAUUGGGUGGAACACCGGUGGCGAAAGCGGCCCCCUGGCCCGGUCCUGACGCUGAGGCGCGAAAGCGUGGGGAGCAAACAGG